RNAcentral lists this long non-coding RNA (2004 nucleotides) under Homo sapiens (human). RNAcentral describes it as "HSALNT0025783". Lineage: Eukaryota; Metazoa; Chordata; Mammalia; Primates; Hominidae. The record is from RNAcentral.
CUGUGACUCUUCAGGCUACAAUAACCUGCAAGCUUCUUUGCUGUUCAAUUCUCGAUGCAUGCUCAUCAUGUUCUAAUUUAAACGCCAUCUCCUCCUCCUGAGGCCCCUCCUGAGGCCCCUCCUGGCCCUGCAGCUGGAGUCCAGGGCUAGUCCCCCACUCUGCUUUCCUCCUAGCACGGCCUGUUCCUGUCUGCCUUCCACAGCGGGCGCUGAAGAAGCACGGAGAAUCUCCCCUGGCCCCUGUUCUCACCCUCACUGCAUGUUCCAGGAGAUCCUGUGACCUCAGUCAAAGCUGGGGGCAGUUUUCGAAGGAGGCUUUUCUCUCCAAUUCUUCAGCUUAUUGUUUCAGGGCAUAGCAUCCCUGCAUAAAUGAACAAUUUUAUUUUCAACUAAAGGUUUUGUCCCAUCAUAAAACAUUUUCACCAUGAGUCAAGGUAACAUUCUGAUUUUUUUUUAAUGGAAAGAAGUAACAGGGAAUGAAACAUACAAAGCCAGAAGAGGUUUGGAAUUUGAAUGGAAUCCAGGUGAUUGAUAAAGCAGGGGUGUUGCUUCAUGUCAACCGCCCACUUACCGAACUGGAAAAACAGUAGGCAAUUCAUUGAGGGAUGAUUUUACAGACCUACACAGAGAUGGAAAUUGACUGCAGAAAAGAUUUUGGAAGGCUCACCUCAGCCUCUUUCUGGAGAACCGUGUUGAUCAAGCGUGCAAUCACAAACGCAGGCAUCCUUCCACCGUGGUGAGGAGGCGACUGUGGGCUGUGUCACAACCCUGAUCUGCCUUUCUCCUGAUGCCCACAGACGUUUGAGAAGCAUCGCUGCUGCCGUGGAGCACACGGAGUCAGUGAGCUGGGGCUGAGGCUUCCUUAUUCCCUGCAGGUGUCUCCUGUGAUGCUGCGUGCUGGAGAGAACCCAAGGUCAGUUACCCUUAGAGCUCCUCCUACGAUCCAGUCCGCGUGAUCCUUUGAAUAAUUGCCUUCUGCUGUUUACCGACAGAUUCUCUAUUCCUAGAACAGGAGCUAACACUCCAUAACCGUUAUCUGUAUCAUUGUGGUAAGUAAAGUUCUCUGACAAGUUCCUCAUGUGUGGAACAAGAGUAACACCCAAUGAGCUGCCUGAAGGAUUCAGUGUCUUGGUGUUCACAAGGCCCCAGCACAUCGUCUAGGACGUGAGACCCACACGCCGCCCUCAGUCUCCUCAGUUCACUGUUUCCCCCGGGGAAACAACCGCCAGGGCCUGUAGGAAAACACAGCAAACUAGAAAGUCCAGUUGGAAGAGAUUUCAGAUGUGCUACAGCCUCCACGGCAGGAGUGAAGCUGGACCUCCAGGCUCCUGAUGACACUGAGGAUUGUGGAGCUGAGUGACACCAGCCGGCAGGAGAGGCCAUGGCAGGAAGUGGAGCCUCCCACCGAACUCCAGGGAGCACCAGCGACUGAGAGGCCACAUGGCGGGCGGCUGUGGGUUGGGGGGGCUGCCUGCCCGCACACUCUUUACGGCAGAAGCAGUGACAUUUCCCUUGCUGUGCCCAUGGCAGGGACGGGCCCGUGGCAGGUGCUGUGAGCAUGUGCUUGCCAAGUUCCUGAUGCGGAGCCCAGCCAGCCCAGAGGGCCACAUUCUUGUCACUGCUUCUUGGAGCCGCAGCUCAUGCCAAGUUCCUCACACCCCUCUCUGGGCUCUAACUUUGUGCUGCCUCAGAUGUUCAGGGUACUUUGCUUCAAGCCAUAUCAAAAGCUGGUUUGAAAAAUAAAGUCCUACAGAGGUGCUAACUGAAUAAGAAAAGAACAGUGCGUUCUGGCCAUUCUGGGACCUAAGCAGGGGCCAGCCAGACCUCAGCAUCCUUCACAUCUGUCCUGCUGGCCACGGUGUCUGGGGAGAGCUGUGCCACCCCCCUGCUCUGAUCACACCUACCUUCUCCGGGGGACUGGCUGGUGCCCAGGGUGGGAAAUGAAACAUGUCUUCAAUUGUUGAGGAUUCACUACACAUUUCUGUGUACUUCAGCAAAAACUCA